RNAcentral lists this ribosomal RNA (453 nucleotides) under uncultured bacterium. RNAcentral describes it as "bacterial SSU rRNA". It matches the Rfam family "Bacterial small subunit ribosomal RNA", at positions 29 to 524 of the family's 1533-position model. The record is from RNAcentral.
AGCGAACGCUGGCGGCAGGCUUAACACAUGCAAGUCGAGCGGGCGUAGCAAUACGUCAGCGGCAGACGGGUGAGUAACGCGUGGGAACAUACCUUUUGGUUCGGAACAACACAGGGAAACUUGUGCUAAUACCGGAUAAGCCCUUACGGGGAAAGAUUUAUCGCCGAAAGAUUGGCCCGCGUCUGAUUAGCUAGUUGGUGAGGUAACGGCUCACCAAGGCGACGAUCAGUAGCUGGCUGAGAGGAUGAUCAGCCACAUUGGGACUGAGACACGGCCCAAACUCCUACGGGAGGCAGCAGGUGGGGAAUAUUGGACAAUGGGCGAAAGCCUGAUCCAGCCAUGCCGCGUGAGUGAUGAAGGCCCUAGGGUUGUAAAGCUCUUUUGUGCGGGAAGAUAAUGACGGUACCGCAAGAAUAAGCCCCCGGCUAACUUCGUGCCAGCCGCCGCGGUAAC